GUGCUGGUAGUUUAAGGGUAAAACGCCUGAUUGUGGUUCAGGAGUUCAGGGUUCGAAUCCCGCCAGUCACC
This is a transfer RNA of Filimonas lacunae, 71 nucleotides long. It matches the Rfam family "tRNA". From Rfam's summary of the family: Transfer RNA (tRNA) molecules are approximately 80 nucleotides in length. Their secondary structure includes four short double-helical elements and three loops (D, anti-codon, and T loops). The record is from Rfam. NCBI's taxonomy places the organism in Bacteria, Pseudomonadati, Bacteroidota, Chitinophagia, Chitinophagales, Chitinophagaceae.